GAUGAACGCUGGCGGCGUGCCUAAUACAUGCAAGUCGAGCGAACAGAUGAGGAGCUUGCUCCUCUGACGUUAGCGGCGGACGGGUGAGUAACACGUGGAUAACCUACCUAUAAGACUGGGAUAACUUCGGGAAACCGGAGCUAAUACCGGAUAAUAUAUUGAACCGCAUGGUUCAAUAGUGAAAGACGGUUUUGCUGUCACUUAUAGAUGGAUCCGCGCCGCAUUAGCUAGUUUGUAAGGUAACGGCUUACCAAGGCAACGAUGCGUAGCCGACCUGAGAGGGUGAUCGGCCACACUGGAACUGAGACACGGUCCAGACUCCUACGGGAGGCAGCAGUAGGGAAUCUUCCGCAAUGGGCGAAAGCCUGACGGAGCAACGCCGCGUGAGUGAUGAAGGUCUUCGGAUCGUAAAACUCUGUUAUUAGGGAAGAACAAAUGUGUAAGUAACUAUGCACGUCUUGACGGUACCUAAUCAGAAAGCCACGGCUAACUACGUG
Molecule: ribosomal RNA, 497 nt
Filed under: uncultured bacterium
Lineage: Bacteria
Description: partial 16S ribosomal RNA
Rfam family: Bacterial small subunit ribosomal RNA
Source: RNAcentral